Molecule: ribosomal RNA, 468 nt
Filed under: uncultured bacterium
Lineage: Bacteria
Description: partial 16S ribosomal RNA
Rfam family: Bacterial small subunit ribosomal RNA
Source: RNAcentral
GACGAACGCUGGCGGCGUGCUUAACACAUGCAAGUCGAACGGAAAGGCCCUGCUUUUGUGGGGUGCUCGAGUGGCGAACGGGUGAGUAACACGUGAGUAACCUGCCCUUGACUUUGGGAUAACUUCAGGAAACUGGGGCUAAUACCGGAUAGGAGCUCCUGCUGCAUGGUGGGGGUUGGAAAGUUUCGGCGGUUGGGGAUGGACUCGCGGCUUAUCAGCUUGCUGGUGGGGUAGUGGCUUACCAAGGCUUUGACGGGUAGCCGGCCUGAGAGGGGGACCGGACACAUUGGGACUGAGAUACGGCCCAGACUCCUACGGGAGGCAGCAGUGGGGAAUAUUGCACAAUGGGCGGAAGCCUGAUGCAGCAAAGCCGCGUGCGGGAUGACGGCCUUCGGGUUGGAAACCGCUUUCGCAUGUGACGAAGCGUGAGUGACGGUAAUGGGUAAAGAAGCACCGGCUAACUACGUG